GCCUUGGUAGUUAAGUGGUUAUAACACUGGCCUGUCGGGAGAUUAAAAAUCUCGCAGAUCGCCGGAGUCCCGGGUUCGAUUCCCGGUCAGGGCG
Candidatus Pacearchaeota archaeon CG1_02_39_14 is the source of this 94-nucleotide non-coding RNA. NCBI's taxonomy places the organism in Archaea, Nanobdellati. The record is from Rfam.